Hylaeus volcanicus is the source of this 1983-nucleotide long non-coding RNA. RefSeq lists it as uncharacterized. The transcript is spliced from 3 exons. The record is from RefSeq and is a predicted model, not a curated record. Lineage: Eukaryota; Metazoa; Arthropoda; Insecta; Hymenoptera; Colletidae.
AUCUGAAUGUUUAAUAAGCAAAAUAAAAAUAUGAAAAAUUUUUUAAACAAUGCUAUGAAUAAUACCUCGAUCAAAAAUACUGUAAUAUUUACGUAUGAAAUUAUUACCAAGAACAAAAAGUGAUGUAUUAAUUUUCCCAGGCAUGAAUCCAGGCACGCAAUGUUCUAUUCCUUUUUUCUAAAUGAAAACAACUGUAACGUCAUUGUUAUGUGAAAAUUGUAACAAGUACGUCUUUUUCCUGAAUUAUAAUAUCCUCGGAACUUAAACGAAAUUCAACAGGAUUCUCUGAAUGUAGUCGUUACAAUACAUAUAUAAUAUACUAAGUUUGUCUUGCCUACCGUCUAUAUCGUUCAGGACUAUACUCAAAUGUGGAACAUGCUUUUUAUUGGAGCAAUCUUCAGCAACAUGGAGUUUAUCAAACAAUAAAUUUAAAAAAUGAGAGGGUACCUAAUAAUCGUAAAAUAAGUUGAAGUUUCAAUCAUUUUUUAAACCUUUCUACCGUUAUUAAUGAACUUCCAGUAUCCACUGCCCCUCUGCAUUUGUUUUUGUGAUUUUUUUUAUCCGAACAAAAAUUCAACGAUUUCCCGUUUACUUUAAAAUCCACAAUUGAAAUCUAAUUCAAGACCAUAUAUUGCCAAAUUACACAUUUUAUUCAAAUUACUUUCUACCUCCCUACAGAUACAAUUUUAUUUUAUGUUUAACAUGUUCAAAAUAUCAGUACCAAUACUCUGUCGACACGACUGGAACCCAUAUUGGAUGAUCAUUAUGAUAAACAUAUCUAGGGUCAAUAGAUCCAAAAGAUAAUGCUCCUGGUGACAUUAAUACAUUAAAAUAUAUAAUGUGAGUUUUCCAUUCAACAGUCAUUAACAUAAAAUAUAAACAAAAGAAAAGUCGAUAAUUUUUUAUUGUACACUUAAUUAACCAGUUUUAUUUCAUUUUUUUCAAAGUGAAAAAAUCUUAACGAAAAUUAUUCAAACCUGGUUCAUCCACGUUUUUAGACAUGUAUACCGCAAAAAUAUUACGCUUAAGAACACCCUGACGUUUCAUAUUGUCUAUCAAAGGCGCUUCCGUCAAAAGAGAACCUGGCUCAGGAAAACCCUAAGCAAUAAUUUAUGAUAGGACUAACUAUAAUAAAAUUUAUUUUCCUGUACCAAUCCAACAAGUCCAUCUAUAGGAUAUACGUAACACAUUAUCACCUUUUAUUAAAAACAAAUUAACAAAAGCAUUACCAAACGGUAGAUCAACAAAAGGAUGAGUACUUUCUAUGCGUGCCGUUCCAAAUGUUUGGUUUCGAACCGAAAGGGAACCAAUCUGCGCUGUGUCUUGACCUAAAUCUAAAACGCAUGACCCCGUUCCAUAUUGAAUGUACUCUUGAUUUUUUCCCUACAAUAAUCACUUUUUUUAAUAAUAACUUGUUUAAAUACAUUAAAAAAAGAAGACAAAUACAAAGAAAUUAAUCGCUAUGACAAUUUUGUUACCUUUUUUAAAGGCAAAAAUGAAGAACUUCUCAAAGGAUCAAACCCUUAAAAUAUAUAAUUGAAAUGGGUCACAAAACAAAAAAAAUUACGAGAAUGAUGUAAGCAUCCUCCAGUCUGACAUUUAGCGCUCGGUACCCAUAAUGUUGAACUUCCUGUGUCAAACUGAAAAUUUUAACAUGUUCACAUAUAAAACUGUAAUUAAAAGACUCGUCUUUUACAACUACAAUAAACGGUUUUCCUGGGGUACCCAAUCGUAAUUCUCCAAAAUACUACACAAAAUUACAAAGUAGACAUUCAUAACAUUAUACCCAAUAAAAGAUGAAAACGUAUACUUGACUGUUGUGAAAAUUCAGUAAAUCUUGAUUCGCUCGAGGUGUAUGAGUUUUGUUACGCACUGAUACGGUGUAAUGAUAUAGUAGCUGGAUUCGGUAGGUAAAUGUUAUUCCAUAGUUUAUCUCUGUGACGCUUUAUAACUUUGCGUGUUAUUAUUUUUUCUAUGCAAAAA